GGAGAAUGAAUCACCUAGUACCUUCCUUGACACACUGGCACUAAGUUGUUCAUCAUUGUUUGACCCUGCCAUCAGAAGGAAAAACCUCAACCUGAAAUUCAUGUGGAAUCUCAAGGGACCCUCUCCCAGUUCUGCACCACAAGGAGACUCUCAGAACUUUCUCAAUGUUUUCUGUGAACCUAUGUAUCUGGAGAUGAACAAUGUCUAUCUCUCACACCUAUGAUGACCUGGGGUUCUGGUCUAGACAUUCUCAGGAGUAAAUUCAGUAGUUGCAGAAGCCCUGACCUUAUGAAGUGCUAAAAAGGACUGCUUUGAACCAAAUAAAGUAAGAGCAGCCAUGUCUUCAUCCC
RNAcentral lists this long non-coding RNA (350 nucleotides) under Mustela putorius furo (domestic ferret). RNAcentral's name for it is "lncRNA (ENSMPUG00000029815.1)". The record is from RNAcentral. Lineage: Eukaryota; Metazoa; Chordata; Mammalia; Carnivora; Mustelidae.